RNAcentral lists this non-coding RNA (88 nucleotides) under unclassified sequences. The record is from RNAcentral.
UAUUAAAUCCCACCGGGGAUUGAAUGCAGGGCAUUCGUGUACACAUCGUUAGGUCUUUGAAGAUGUGUAUAACGGAUGCCUUGAUUUG